Molecule: ribosomal RNA, 1137 nt
Filed under: Triticum aestivum (bread wheat)
Lineage: Eukaryota; Viridiplantae; Streptophyta; Magnoliopsida; Poales; Poaceae
Description: partial small subunit ribosomal RNA
Source: RNAcentral
AUGACUGCAGCUAAACUUGGGGAAUGUGGAUCUGUGUUGUGGUCUGCUCAUGCUCCACAUAUUCACAAGAUACAAAUUGUUAUUUCAACAGUGAUAGUUGUGUUAACCCUCGUCCUCACUGGUCUAGUUCUUUUGCGGAUAAUCCAGAAGAAGUCAUUUAUGGACAGACCGGUGAAUUCGAACAGCAGCCUCACGAUCUUCUCAAACGCCCAGAUAAAGAAAGCUACCGGAAAUUUCUCGGUAAAGCUUGGAGAAGGAGGUUUUGGCUGUGUUUUCAAGGGAACAUUGCAAGGUUCCUCUGUGGUGGCUGUCAAGAAGCUAAAAGAAUUUGGACAAGGGGAGAAGCAAUUCCGAGCGGAAGUGCAAACGAUUGGAAUGAUCCAACACAUCAAUGUUGUUCGUUUAUUUGGAUUUUGUGCCGAAGGAAGUAAAAGGCUGCUGGUGUACGAGUACAUGGAGAAUGGAUCUUUGAGUUCUCAUCUGUUUUCGAAAAGCCCGGCAGCUUUGGGCUGGGAGGUCCGGUACCGGAUAGCACUUGGAACUGCAAGAGGCUUGGCUUACCUGCAUGAGGGAUGCACGGACUGUAUCAUACACUGUGACAUGAAGCCGGACAAUGUACUCCUUGACGCAGAUUUCUGUCCUAAGGUUGCAGACUUUGGUUUGGCCAAACUUCUUGGCCGGGAUUUUAGCAGGGCAUUGACAACGAUGCGUGGGACCAUCGGAUACCUUGCGCCGGAGUGGAUCUCAGGGCUACCGAUCACGCAUAAGGCUGAUGCCUACAGCUACGGAAUGAUGCUUCUUGAAAUCGUAUCGGGGAAUGCGGAGAAAAUCAAACAGGGGAGGUUUACUUACUUUCCCAUCUUUGCUGCAGUCAAGGUGAAUGAAGGAGAUGUUAUGUGCCUGCUGGACAGCAGGUUGGAAGACGAUGUGGAUGUGGAUGUGGAGCAGCUGAUCAGGGCUUGCAGAACUGCAUGCUGGUGCAUUCAGGAUGCUGAAGAUCAUAGGCCAAUGAUGGGGCAAGUUGUUCAGAUGCUUGAAGGCGUUCUGGAUGUCCAAGUACCUCCCGUUCCAAGGUCGCUCCAGAAUUGGGUGGGCAUGGACGACUGCUCUCGCUCUACUGAUUUAUAUAGUCUCUGA